UUUAUCAAAAACAUGGUCUUUUGUUAUUUAUAUAAGAUCUGUCCUGCCCAGUGAUUUAUUUUAAAUGGCUGCAGUAUUUUGACUGACAAAGGUAGCAUAAUCAUUUGUCUUUUAAUUGAAGAAUGGAAUGAAUGGAUGGAUGAGAAAUAUACUUUCUUUAUUUUAAUUUAUGAACUUAAUCUUUGAGUCAAAAAGCUUAAAUAUUAUUAUAAGACGAGAAGACCCUGUAGAGUUUUAUUUAUUUAAAUUUUUCAAUUUUUUUUCAAUUUAUUAAUUGAAAAGUUUAAAUAAAUUAUGUUGGGGUGACAAAAAAAAUAUAAUAACUUUUUUUACUUUUAACAUUUAUAUAUGUAAUUUUGAUCCUUUAUUAAAGAUAAUAAGAUUAAUCUACCUCAGGGAUAACAGCGUUAUUAUUUUGGAGAGUUCAUAUCGAUAAAAUAGAUUGCGACCUCGAUGUUGGAUUAAAAUAAGUUUCAGGAGCACAAUAUUGUUAACUAAGUCUGUUCGACUUUUAAAUUUUUACGUGAUCUGAGUUC
Molecule: ribosomal RNA, 536 nt
Filed under: Coridromius sp. WCW-2003f
Lineage: Eukaryota; Metazoa; Arthropoda; Insecta; Hemiptera; Miridae
Description: partial 16S ribosomal RNA
Rfam family: Bacterial large subunit ribosomal RNA
Source: RNAcentral